ACACGGGCCGAUUUUUUGUCCCAGUCCAGCCCUGGAUGCAUCUGGAGACGGUCCUAUUAAGUCCUAUUCUAAAGGCUGAUUGCCCUCCCCCACGCUUGUACCUGUGGCUUUCUGUCCUGGGGGUGGGGGCUGGUUGUUCUCCUGCCCUGCAGCCAAUCCUUUUGUUCAUAUUCAAAGACCGUUUUUCUGUAUGUAUUCUUACCCCCUAAAACCCGUCGUAUUGUAAUGUUGCAAGCAAUCACAAACUCUACAGUCUGUCUAACUCCAAUGUAUACCAAGCAAUCUAUUAUUAUCAACAGAGCUAAAAGCUUACCUUUAGAUGAGCCCACAAACCGAGAGAAACUCCGUGAUGAAGCUGGAAGUCUUAACAAACAGAUCAGGGAGCAGAGACCCACGUGGUUCACGCUGAUCUGAGCUAAGAUCCAGGAAAUAAGGGUGUUCAGAUCGAUGCAGAAAUUGAUCCCAACGUUGGUAGUGGUAUAUGUUCCUGUAAGUUUACUACUUUACUCCAGUUUCAUGAAAAAGUAACUCUCUCUGCUCGACACCUCUCCUGCACACACACACAAUUUCUCCGCCCCUUUUUCCCGACUCUGCCGUGAUUUGUUACUCGGUUUGGUCACAUGACUCACUUGCGCAACGUAACCACGCGGGACCCGAUUUUUUUUUUUUUUAAUUAAACUUUAUUUACAAACAACAGUUUAACAUACAAGGCACCAUCAUUAAUCCGAUUAUGUUACAUCCUCGGUUGAGCAUUAUAGCAAAACAAACAAACAAACAAAACGAACAAAAAAAAAACCAAAAACAACAACAAUAAGCACAAAGUUAAAAGAGUUAGCACAAAAAUAAAGAACAGUCAUUGAAGGAUUCGAACCAAAGGCAAAAACUAACGUGCAAAAAAAGGGCAGUCGUGAUUAUAAAAUAGGGAGUUUUUUGUUUUUUUUAACAUAGGUUAAACUCUUUAAAUAAAACAACAAGUUUAUGGGCUUUCUUGUUAUUCACAAGUUUCAGCGAUUUAGCCCAGAGUUUAAAGUCAUUCAGCCAUCUGUUUAUACAUGGUUUAGCUUUAAAGUAUCUGCAUUUGUGAAUAAAAAAUUUUCCCAUUAACAAAAUCGUCCUAAUCAACAGGUCAAAAUCUGCAUUCUCAGCAAGUAUUCCAAAUUUUAUUACUGUC
Molecule: long non-coding RNA, 1171 nt
Organism: Astatotilapia calliptera (eastern happy)
Lineage: Eukaryota; Metazoa; Chordata; Actinopteri; Cichliformes; Cichlidae
Source: Ensembl